AACGAACGCUGGCGGCAUGCCUAACACAUGCAAGUCGAACGAGACCUUCGGGUCUAGUGGCGCACGGGUGCGUAACGCGUGGGAAUCUGCCCCUGGGUUCGGAAUAACAGUUAGAAAUGACUGCUAAUACCGGAUAAUGUCUUCGGACCAAAGAUUUAUCGCCCAGGGAUGAGCCCGCGUAGGAUUAGCUAGUUGGUGAGGUAAAGGCUCACCAAGGCGACGAUCCUUAGCUGGUCUGAGAGGAUGAUCAGCCACACUGGGACUGAGACACGGCCAGACUCCUACGGGAGGCAGCAGUGGGGAAUAUUGGACAAUGGGCGAAAGCCUGAUCCAGCAAUGCCGCGUGAGUGAUGAAGGCCUUAGGGUUGUAAGCUCUUUUACCCGGGAUGAUAAUGACAGUACCGGGAGAAUAAGCCCCGGCUAACUCCGUGCCAGCAGCCGCGGUAAU
This 448-nucleotide ribosomal RNA is filed under the name uncultured bacterium. RNAcentral's name for it is "bacterial SSU rRNA". It matches the Rfam family "Bacterial small subunit ribosomal RNA", at positions 29 to 524 of the family's 1533-position model. The record is from RNAcentral.